RNAcentral lists this transfer RNA (90 nucleotides) under Silanimonas algicola. RNAcentral's name for it is "tRNA-Leu". It matches the Rfam family "tRNA". Rfam says of the family: Transfer RNA (tRNA) molecules are approximately 80 nucleotides in length. Their secondary structure includes four short double-helical elements and three loops (D, anti-codon, and T loops). Further hydrogen bonds mediate the characteristic L-shaped molecular structure. tRNAs have two regions of fundamental functional importance: the anti-codon, which is responsible for specific mRNA codon recognition, and the 3' end, to which the tRNAs corresponding amino acid is attached (by aminoacyl-tRNA synthetases). tRNAs cope with the degeneracy of the genetic code in two manners: having more than one tRNA (with a specific anti-codon) for a particular amino acid; and 'wobble' base-pairing, i.e. permitting non-standard base-pairing at the 3rd anti-codon position. Lineage: Bacteria; Pseudomonadati; Pseudomonadota; Gammaproteobacteria; Lysobacterales; Lysobacteraceae. RNAcentral also lists the same sequence under 1 other name. The record is from RNAcentral.
GCCUCGAUGGUGAAAUCGGUAGACACAGCGGACUUAAAAUCCGCCGCCCUUGAACAAGGCGUGCCGGUUCGAUUCCGGCUCGAGGCACCA